Molecule: long non-coding RNA, 993 nt
Organism: Brassica napus (rape)
Lineage: Eukaryota; Viridiplantae; Streptophyta; Magnoliopsida; Brassicales; Brassicaceae
Exons: 2
Source: RefSeq, a predicted model, not a curated record
AACAUUUGUCUUAGGAGCCUUGAAUCUUAACAUCAACCACCGGUUUGGGAUGUACUGCUGCGAGAUCACCGGCGUGGAUGCCAAGAUGAAAGAUGGAGUCUUGAAGGUUCUCAUUACCCCUCGUCCCAACACCACCACCAACGAGUUGAAAUCGUUGAAAACGUUGUGACUAUGAUGGAGGUUGAAGAAGAGAGUGAAAAGGAAGUGUCUUUAGAUGAUGUUAAUCUGCAAAAUGGGAGCUUUAUGGUGGUGGAUGAUGAUUCUCAAGCUGAUAAGAGAAGUUCACUCCAUGUGACUGAUGUCUGCAGUUUUGAAGCAUAUAGAAAGGCAUUCAAGAGUGCUGAGAACCGGAGUUUUAAACUGAAAGCCAGAGGCUUUGGUGAUGCUUUGAAAGAAAGGUGUUGUGGUUUGUUGUGAAGCUUGCAUUCUGUUUUCAUACCAGAUGAAGACCUAGUUGAGGUUUCACUAUCUUUCUUGUUUCUUUAUAGUUUGUGGCUUUAGUUUGUAAGUUUACGGAUGCAUAUGGAGAGAGAGGUCUUGAAUAAGAUUUCGGUUUGGCUUCUGUGAUAACUUGUUCAGUGGCGGCUUUGGCCGCUGGCUCUGAGUUUACUUGUGCAGUGGCCGCUUUGAUUGCUGGCUCUAGCUCAGGUUCUGGUUCAUCGACGAUGGUGGUUGUAGCUGCUUCUGCUGCUACUGGUGCUGGUGCGGGAAGACCUUUGCUGCUUACUGGUGUGGGAGAUGUUGGAGGCUUCAAGUAUGGGUACUGCAAACAUAGUGAAGAAGAGAAAGAGAGAGAGAGAUACAUCAGAUUAGAAAACACUCAUGUGAUCAAUGGUUGUCUUAACAUAGCUUCUUUGUGUUAAAUAAUGUAAGAGAGGUUUCAGGGGAGUGUAUAAACAUCACCGAUGCAUAUGGAGAUAAUGGUCUUGGAUAAGGUUUCGGUUUGGCUUCUGUUUUUGUUGGUUCUGUGAUUACUUGUUCCGUAGCAGUUUC